UGUCUCCUUCAAUUAGCAGCCGGUGUCGUUCUGCAGUCAGAAAUAACAACUGAUGUAUGAGAUGUCACGACAAGUUAGGUCAGAUAUAUUCAUACAGUAUGUGUUUCUCACCACAGGGUAGGUCAUAAUGAGAUCAUUGGCGUGAUGCGGGUCGGCUGCCAUGCUGAGGGUCUCGGUAGGGACCACUGGAACGAAAUGCUGGCUUAUCCACGCAAGCCUGUUGCACACUGGCACCCCCUGCUGGAGGCCAAGAAAUCUGAGAAGGAGUGGAAGGCGAGGACCGCCAGCUUUGACAGCCAAGGUUCCUGCCCCUCCCCGAGGCCUCCUGCUACUCCCUGAGGAGAACCACCUGAGACCCAGUUAGUCCAGAAGGGGGUUUCCUCCUUCCUGCUCAUAUACUUCCCAUCUGUCUGACUGAGGAGAAACACAAUUUCAAGGACUCCCUCUUGCUUUCCCUCUCUCCUUUCCUCAAGUCUAGUGCCCAGAGGAUUCCAAGAACUGUUCAAGGACCAACCGUCAGCUAGCUGUGUGACGCGCCGUCUUUAUGGGUCAGUGUGGACUUUGGUACGCUGAUUUAGACCGAACUGAAACACAGGUGUUGUGUUGAGUCAGAGGUGUUCUCAUUGUCCUCUGAGUGGGCUAGACGUCCCGUCUGCAGACAUUAAAAAUCCACUUUAAAUUGUACGGGCUGACGAGCACACAUCUCCGUGUCGUCACAGGAGACUUCCCAAAAGACUCAAGACACAGUGCUUAAGCCACAGAGACUCUUUGAUGGAAAAACCCGCUCCGUGAAAGCAGCACAGGCUUCAAAGCAAGAAACCGAGAACGUUUCCAGGAUGGGAACGAUGUGGGGGGGGAAAAAAUUUAAAAAGGGAUCUGAAGUGGUUUGUUCUCUCACACAGGCAUCAACAACAGUGCUGUAUUGGCAAAAACACUGUUCUGAACUGUAGCAUUUUUAGGACUGUUGUAUGUAAAAUUGCUCCAUCAGGCAUUAUUAUUUGAGUAAAAGUGAAAUGACUUUCACUGCUUCCAGCUGAGUUCGCCGUACUUCCAGUUCCAUCAAUAAAAUAA
This is a long non-coding RNA of Thalassophryne amazonica, 1071 nucleotides long. RefSeq lists it as uncharacterized. Lineage: Eukaryota; Metazoa; Chordata; Actinopteri; Batrachoidiformes; Batrachoididae. The record is from RefSeq and is a predicted model, not a curated record. The transcript is spliced from 2 exons.